This 237-nucleotide long non-coding RNA is filed under the name Hordeum vulgare. RNAcentral describes it as "long non-coding RNA (HVUL_LNC012884)". Lineage: Eukaryota; Viridiplantae; Streptophyta; Magnoliopsida; Poales; Poaceae. The record is from RNAcentral.
UCUACAUCAUCCUUGCUUCUCCCAUGGUGAUCUGUGAGUAAUUCACCACAGACCUACGGUUCCAUAGUUAGUAUCUAGAUCUCUCUCUCUCUCUUUUUCUCUUGAUGUUCAAUACAAUGAUCAUCACAUAUUCACUUUGAUCUAUCCAAUGUAUUUCUUUUGUGCGCUGCAUUUGUUGGGAUCCGAUGAAUUGUGGGUUUAUGUUCAGAUUAUUCAUGAUAAAUAUUUGAGUCUUCU